RNAcentral lists this microRNA (23 nucleotides) under Bombyx mori (domestic silkworm). RNAcentral describes it as "bmo-miR-2780d". Lineage: Eukaryota; Metazoa; Arthropoda; Insecta; Lepidoptera; Bombycidae. The record is from miRBase by way of RNAcentral.
AAAGGUGUUAAAUGAAGACUUAG